GAUGAAGAACGCAGUGAAAUGCGAUAAGUAGUGUGAAUUGCAGAAUUCAGUGAAUCAUCGAAUCUUUGAACGCACAUUGCGCCCCAUGGUAUUCCGUGGGGCAUGCCUGUUCGAGCGUCAUUUACCCCCUCAAGCUCCGCUUGGUGUUGGGCGUCUGUCCCGCUUCGCGCGCGGACUCGCCCCAAAGGUAUUGGCAGCGGUCGUGCCAGCUUCUCGCGCAGCACAUUGCGCUUCUCGAGGCACCGGUGGGCCCGCGUCCAUCAAGCUCACCCCCCCAGUCUGACCUCGGAUCAGGUAGGGAUACCCGCUGAACUUAAGCAUAUCAAUAAGCGGAGGA
This 337-nucleotide unclassified non-coding RNA is filed under the name soil metagenome. RNAcentral's name for it is "partial contains 5.8S ribosomal RNA, internal transcribed spacer 2, and large subunit ribosomal RNA". The stretch from base 1 to 120 matches the Rfam family "5.8S ribosomal RNA", at positions 35 to 154 of the family's 154-position model. The record is from RNAcentral.